This 497-nucleotide ribosomal RNA is filed under the name uncultured bacterium. Its description in RNAcentral is "partial 16S ribosomal RNA". It matches the Rfam family "Bacterial small subunit ribosomal RNA", at positions 28 to 507 of the family's 1533-position model. The record is from RNAcentral.
GAUGAACGCUGGCGGCGUGCCUAAUACAUGCAAGUCGAGCGAACAGAUAAGGAGCUUGCUCCUUUGACGUUAGCGGCGGACGGGUGAGUAGCACGUGGGUAACCUACCUAUAAGACUGGAAUAACUCCGGGAAACCGGGGCUAAUGCAGGAUAACAUGUUGAACCGCAUGGUUCUACAGUGAAAGGCGGCUUUGCUGUCACUUAUAGAUGGACCCGCGCCGUAUUAGCUAGUUGGUGAGGUAACGGCUCACCAAGGCAACGAUACGUAGCCGACCUGAGAGGGUGAUCGGCCACACUGGAACUGAGACACGGUCCAGACUCCUACGGGAGGCAGCAGUAGGGAAUCUUCCGCAAUGGGCGAAAGCCUGACGGAGCAACGCCGCGUGAGUGAUGAAGGUCUUCGGAUCGUAAAACUCUGUUAUUAGGGAAGAACAAAUGCGUAAGUAACUGUGCGCGUCUUGACGGUACCUAAUCAGAAAGCCACGGCUAACUACGUG